Molecule: long non-coding RNA, 2309 nt
Organism: Apteryx haastii (Great spotted kiwi)
Lineage: Eukaryota; Metazoa; Chordata; Aves; Apterygiformes; Apterygidae
Source: Ensembl
ACCCCUCUUCCCGUGCAGCCUGCAGCUCUGGGGCCGCUCAGGCUAAGCCUAUGCACCCCGCUAUGCACCCGCCUGGGCACCCUGCUAUGCACCCGCCUGGGCACCCUGCUAUGCACCUGCCUGGGCACCCCAAUAAGCACCUGCUUGUGCACCCUGCUGUGCACCCGCCUGGGCACCCCGCUAUGCACCCGCCUGAGCACCCCGCUAUGCACCCACCUCUGCACCCGCUGGGCACCCGGUGUCCCCGAGCUGGCCGCGGCUCUGGGGGCUCACAGGCUGGGCCAGCCCGGCCCCGCUGCCCCCCAGUCACCGGUCACCCCGCAGCCACGCCGGGCAGCCGCCGGCCCCAGGGGACAGCACCGCGCGGCAGCUCUUCCCCACGCUGUCGCCAAAGGAGGGAGCCGCCGGCGCCCGCGGCACCCCUGGGGCUCGGAGGCCGCGCGUGGGAGCGCCUCGGCAACGCGGAGCUGGCGCUUUGAAGACCUGACGGGCUGGAAGCCCCGGCGGAGCCCUUGGGACGGGGAGGGCUCCCAUCAGAGCAACCGCCAGCCCGGCCGUGCCAGCCCGACCGGAGCCGCUCCCCACCUCGCCCCUCGGCGACGACGUCCCCCCUCCCCGGUGCCGGCACCCUGCUGGGCGGCCGAGCCCCUCGCGGGCAUCAAGGAAUUUUGCAAAACGCGCAUUUUGGAAAGCAGCCGGAAGGGCCCUGCCCAGCCACCCGCCGCCGGGGCGAGCGGGCCCGGCCGGGCCUGGGGGUUCGGGGAGGCGAGCGGGACCAGAGGCACCCGCCGGCCCCGGCCCGGCAGUGCCGAGGCUGCAGGCGCAGGGCGCAUCCGACGCGGGGAGCUGGGAGGAGCGAGCCUGACGCCCGGCCAUCCCGACGCGCCGCUCCCUGCCGGGGCAGACGGGCCGGACGCGCAGAGGCAGCGAGAGCGCAGCGAAACGGCCGCGGGGGCGCUUCCCGACGCCCGCCCGAGGCAGGGCACCGCAAGGAGCCGCCCCGUCUCCCGGGAGCAGCGUGGGUGUGCGGAGGGAUCCCAGAGCCGGACUCGCAAGGAGCUUCCCUCCAGCCCGGAAAGCCGCCGUCUUUCCCAGGGAUGCCCCAAGGCCCCUCCGGCAGCGAUGCCAAGGGCUGUGCGCGCCCGGCACUGGGGUCCCAGUGCGCCUGGCUGGGUCAGCCCUGUGGCCAUGGACCCUGCGACGGCACACGCGGGCUGGACCCUGCAGAGACGCACGUGGGGCGGCAGCGCGUGGACAGGGCGGCCCUGGCAGGGCGGGCAGCGAGGACCGGCCCGGUCACUGCCACGGGGCAGCAGGGGCACCUGGGCUCGGGGGAGGCUGCUGGUGCCGGGGAGGUGUUUGCAGGGGGCUGGUCCCGAUGGGGCAGCGGUGGGGAGGGCUGGGGUGUCCGUACAGCCAGGGGAUCGAGGGGGGGUUCCCCCCCCCCCAGUGCAGAGCAGAGUACUACAGCCACUACAGUCCAGGGAGGUACGGCACAGCAUCCGUCCCUCACCGUGCAAGGCACAGGAGAAAGCCACACACACAAGCGCACACACACACGCACACACAUACAUACACACAAACAUGCACGCAUACAGGCAUGCACACACACAUACGUACAUGCAUGCAUAUAUAUACACACAGGCAUGCACACACGGGCAUGCACGGAGCCAUGCACACACACGCGUGUCUGCAUGUACACACGCACACGGGCACGUGCCCACAGGCGCUGGGGUUUGCACACACACGCAGGUAAACACAGACACCCGUGGGCGCACGUGCAAAGAUGCAUGCGGGCAUGUGCACGCACACACACGUAAGUGAACACGCACAUGCAUGCACGUCCAGGCACACAGGCACACGGGCCUAGCGCGGGGAUCCGAUCCGAUCCGAUCCGAUCCGAUCCGAUCCGGCCCAGCCUGGCCUGGCCUGGCCCAGCCCGGCGGGGGCGGAGCUCUCUCGGAGGCCCUGCCCCUUAACGCUUUGCUGCCCGGGCCGGGAGCGCCGUGUCCGGCGCCCCCGAGGCGAGCGAGCCCCGGCACAGCACCCCGGGGCACUGGGACCCCCACGGCAGGGGAGCCCACGCGGCCCCCCCGAGCCCACUCCCCGGGCACAGCAGCCCCGGGCACGGCACGAAACAGCCCCCGACGGCGCACUUCCCGCGCACGGCACGGCACGGCACGGCACGGCACGGCUCCCCGACAGCACAGUCCCCGCAGCGACCCGGCCACGGCCCCGUCCCCCGGUGCUGCCCCAGGGCUCGGUACGGCCCCCGACACCGCGCUCCCCGGGCCCGGCCCGUGCCCGUC